AACUUUCAACAACAGAUCUCUUGGUUCUGGCAUCAAUGAAGAAUGCAGCAAAAUGUGAUAAGUAAUGUGAAUUGCAGAAUUCCAUGAAUCAUUGAAUCUUUAAACACACAUUGCACCCUCUGGUAUUCUGAAGGGCAUGCCUGUUUGAGUGUCA
Molecule: ribosomal RNA, 154 nt
Filed under: Coccidioides immitis H538.4
Lineage: Eukaryota; Fungi; Ascomycota; Eurotiomycetes; Onygenales; Onygenaceae
Description: 5.8S ribosomal RNA
Rfam family: 5.8S ribosomal RNA
About the family: 5.8S ribosomal RNA (5.8S rRNA) is a component of the large subunit of the eukaryotic ribosome. It is transcribed by RNA polymerase I as part of the 45S precursor that also contains 18S and 28S rRNA.
Source: Rfam by way of RNAcentral